Molecule: ribosomal RNA, 502 nt
Filed under: uncultured bacterium
Lineage: Bacteria
Description: bacterial SSU rRNA
Rfam family: Bacterial small subunit ribosomal RNA
Source: RNAcentral
CAAGGGAUUUUCCGCAAUGGGCGCAAGCCUGACGGAGCAACGCCGCGUGCGGGAUGACGCCUUUCGGGGUGUAAACCGCUGUUCGUGGGGACGAAGCACUGACGGUACCCACGGAGGAAGGCCCGGCUAACUACGUGCCAGCAGCCGCGGUAAUACGUAGGGGUCGAGCGUUGUCCGGAGUUACUGGGCGUAAAGCGCGUGCAGGUGGCUCAUCACGCCCGGCGUGAAAGCCCCCGGCUUAACCGGGGAGGGUCGUCGGGGACGGGUGAGCUUGAGGGUCGCAGGGGCUGGUGGAAUUCCCGGUGUAGUGGUGAAAUGCGUAGAGAUCGGGAGGAACACCCGUGGCGAAGGCGGCCAGCUGGGCGAGCCCUGACACUGAGACGCGAAGGCGUGGGGAGCGAACGGGAUUAGAUACCCCGGUAGUCCACGCAGUAAACGAUGCCGACUAGGCGUGGGGGGACUUGACCCCUUCCGUGCCGAAGCUAACGCAGAAGUCGGCCGC